Molecule: long non-coding RNA, 37059 nt
Filed under: Glycine max (soybean)
Lineage: Eukaryota; Viridiplantae; Streptophyta; Magnoliopsida; Fabales; Fabaceae
Description: long non-coding RNA (GMAX_LNC000173)
Source: RNAcentral
GUGUUUAGUCCUUCUUCUAUUAAAGUGUAUGCUCUCUUUUUAUUAUAUUUUUUUGAAAGUGGACUUCUUGAAUAAUGGUUAAAACUUAAGUAGUAGCUAAGGUGAUACGAGACACUAGCUGAGGUGUUGUUGAACCUGAUGAGAUAUUACAUAAAGAUCAUUUUUUAGCCUUGUAGUUUAUUGAUCCUUUAAUCUAAAUUUUGUAGCAAGAUUAAACUUAAUAGUUAUUAACAAUGAUAAUGUCUUCUUAAGACAUUAAGCCUGCAAUUUUAGUUUCAAAUCUAGCGUGUUAUCUUCACUAUACUACUUGAUGAGGUUUGUUAUUUUUCCCUACUUCCUCUCUUUUAUAUUUGAUGAGUUUAUGAAUUUUGACCCUAUUUGUUUUAUAAACCAAACUUUUGCUAUAUAUCUAAGUGUCAGCUGAAUGCAAAUUAUAAUAAGUACAGAAUUUGGUAAAAAGAAUUAAUUCAAUAAACAAUUUAAUUAGAGCAAAUGUUAUUGAAAAGAUUAAGAUAAAAUUCUUUAAUAUAAAAAAGGUAUUGAAAUUAUAUACUAACAAUAACUCCACAAAUCUCACUCAUAACAAAAUGUUUAUCUUUUGCAGGAUUACAAUGCAAAAAUUUCAGAUUUUGGCUUGGUCAAAUUAGGCUCUUCUGGGGAAGAUUCACAUGUGAGUACGAGGAUCAUGGGAACAUAUGGCUAUGCUGCUCCAGAAAUUCUCUGGAAAUCCCUAUCAAUGCCACUAGCUGCCACUAUUACAAUCCAUUGCGUAGUAUUUGAGACAAUUGCCAUAUAUGGUCCAUCAUUUCCACUUGAGACCACAUUGAUUGUGUCUUUCCUCAUGGCAUGAAAUGAUCCAAUUCCUAUAGAGUCAUGUGCAUAGUUUUGAAAUAAGCAAAUUCGAAUGUUCUUUGCUAAUGAUUGUCUAGUAGAGGAUCAAACACAAUGUUAAGAACAAAAAUAAAAACGAACAGAAAGAAAGUAGUUUAGUUUAGAUAAAAAAUUGUUUCCUUCUUUUAAAGUAAUUAAUUGCUUAAUUUUUUAAGGAUGAGCUAGUUGUAUGUACCCUAUUGAUCUCCAGCAGGUACACCAUUAGGGAUUAAUGUGCAACUUCUUCAUUAGAGACUAUGGGAAGAAAAAUUAUUAAUUAAGUUGGUGUUUUGUUUUUUUUUCAUUCCGAUUCUAAAGUUGGGCUUGGUUGCUCUUAAGAUUAAGAAGCUCAUGGGCGUGGUUGCUUUAGUAAAUUUGGGAUAUAUUGUGACUUGUGACCAUUGGCCAUUACUUAGCCAAUUCUACACCACACACAUUCAUGGUGCAUGUAGUGUAUAUGUGCCUCUUUUAUUUUACAAUUAGGGAAGCAUAAUAUAAGGAAGGGAAAGGGUUGUGUUUGUGUUUGUGUUGUGUCAUGUGUGUGUGUCUAUUUAUAUGUCACUACUCUUAAAGCUCAAUAUAAUUAUAGUAGUCCUAAGAGUCAACAGAUCAGAUUAGACUAAACAUUAGAUGAGAGAAAAUGACAACACCCUAUAAGCUCAAAUUGAUAUGAUAUGUUAUAUGGUUGAUUAGCUAGUGAUUCAAUUGCAUUGUUUGUAUCACUCAAUCAAAAUUGCUAUCAAUUUCUUGUUUGAUUUUGUUAUCUUAUUUACGAGAUUGCACUAUUUUAUUGUUAAUGAUCUAUAUGGUUAACACUCUAAAUGGUUAGCACUUUUAAGAAUAACUUGACAGGUUAUGCUUCAAGUGUUAUUUUAUUUAUUUUUCUUUAUUCUAAGGUUUAUGGAGGAGGCUUCCUAUUGGCUUCAAGUUUAUAACUGUUAUCCAUGCUAUUUUGGUGUAAGAUUUGAUUAAGUAUAUUGUUGAUUAGUUACUAAAAUUGGCUUGGACUAAUAGUACUUGAAUUUAUAUAUGUGUUUGUAUGUGUGUUUUUCAUUUCAUGUAAAUUCCUAUGUUCAACUGAUAGCAACUAUUUUUCUCUCCACCAUUUACUACUUAUGUUGACUAAUACUUCAAUAAAAACAUUCAGCACUUGGAGCCUGGAAGAGAUGAAUAAUGCAACAACAGUCCUUGAUUAGUAAACUUUCUUACUCAGAAUUGCAUGUAGUGCCUAUCACCUGUGUCAUGAAAGGCAGAGUUAAUCACUUUCUGAACUUAACCUUGGGUUGAUUUAGUGAUUAUUACAUUAUUUUGUUGUUUCUUGUGACACAUUAUUAUACAAUUGACCAUUUCUAAGUUCCCAAGCAUUUAGGAGUUGAGUGACACAUAUUGACCAAUUUGCAUGCAAGUGGGGAUUUUGUUCCUGGCUUUCUUCUGGGUGGUGCAUUUUUUUGGAACUCUAGCUUAUAUCUUUGCUCCCUAGGCGAUUCCUUUUUCUUGUAAUUUUAAAUUUGCUACCUAAGUGCCUUUCAAUUUUGUUCAAUACCCAUAAGACUAACAGAUAAAUCAAGCGUCUGACUUGGCAUUUUCUCUCUUCUGUUUAGUUAGAAACAUUUAAGUGUUGCUAAGCAAUAAACACGUCACCUUUUAAACCACGGGAAAACUGUGCAAUAAAGUCAACAAGAAAAAACAAAUACACCCUUUGAUGCAUGCUAGACUCCAUUUCCAGACAAUGGGCAAGAAUUUCCAUGACCUAGAACACAUCCCAAGACCCCAAAAAUUGCAAAUGGCAUCGACAAUAAAUAUGUAAGCUUUUGCAAGUAAAAUUCAAAAAUUUUGAAUAGGGAAUAACUGCAAAGUCAAUUGAAGGAAUUUAAGUCCCAUUAAUGUCCAAAAGAAUUAUAACACAACAUAUAAACAAGAAUUGUUUUUAUAACAGGUUUGAAUCUAUAUUUUCUUCUUCUAGGCAAUAAUACAUUAACUUGAUAGAUUCAUAUUGCGUUAACUCAAUGGUCCAAAAGAACUUGAAAAAUCAAAUCCUAAAUUAAUAGGAACCUAAAUGAGAAUAUGGGUACAAAUGGACAGUUAGCACAUAAGCUUCUCAAGCCCCUGGUCUGGAGAAAGUGUAUGUUAAAAACAAAAAGAAUGGGUAGGGAAACAAUAGUUAUGUGGUAGAGAGAGAGGACAGAGCCAAUUGUGAGAUAGGUUUGUGUUAUAUUGGGAUGGAGAGAGAAUGAGGGUAAGGAAGAGAAUCAUUGAGUUUGUUAUGGUCCUCAUGGACAAAGAGCAUUAGACCUCUAUAUGAGUUUAGCUUCAUGGCAAUAGGAAAAUUAACUCCACUAUAAUCCCUUCAUUUCAAAAAUAAUACACAUCUUAUUUUCCAUUGAGUUGUUUUCUUUAUUAAUUGAUAUUGUGUUAGUUCAAUUUGUAUUUUAAAUAGAUGCAAUGACCAAGGUAAAAGUAGAAGUGUAGAACUAAUCUAAAUCAACAAGUGUUCACAACAAACAAUUUCAUAAUAGAGGAUGAGGGGAUUUUUUAAUUAUAAAAAAUCAUUUUACCUUAUCUGCAAUGGCAAAAUUUGCAUAGUCAAUAGCUAUGUGUGUUGCUCGACCAAUACUUUCCUUUGUCCUUGUCAAUGUCUCAAGCAUCGCUUCAAAGUACAACAAAGCAGAACAACCUGUUGUAGUUGACUUACCCAUACAUCUUGAUUGUUAAGUCGUCAUAUUCUCAUUUCUACUACCAUCGACAGGAUCAGAUACAGUUUGUUUUUGGUCAUCAUAUGUUGAGACAGAAUUCAUAUCCUCCUCUGGACCUUUACAUUUUACCUCUUUCACAAUCUCAUGCCUGAAAUUAAAGAAUAGACAUAAACUUUCUUGAAUUGAAAGAAAUGAAGAAUAACUAACUUUUAUUUGACAAUUGAUCUCUUUCAUAUUCGCUAUCAUUAGAACAUUAAUUAACCCUGUAGAAUUCCACCAAGCUGAACCACUCAAUUAGUUUACAAUAUAAAAAAAAUAACUACUUACAAAAUGUAUGAUCUAAAUGAGAAAAGCAUAAUACUACCAAAUUGGCAAAUUCAAUAACAAGAUGUCACAACAGAACAGUAAACAAGCUUUAGGGGUACGAAACUAUAAACAAUUUCCUUAAUUCUUUUUUCUUCUUUGCUUUGAGGAUUUUAAUCGGAGAGUCAAAAGGCGAAGAACUAUAACAUGCCAUAACUAAAGCUUACAUAUGUUUUUUUGUGCCAAUAUCAACAAUUGUUGGCUUCAAACAUUUUGUAUCCUCACAUACAGCACCAUAAUUGAUAUGAUUUAAUAUGUACGGUUAUUUUUUUCCUCUUUGCAUCAUCAUCACCAUAUUGACUGCUAUUGUUAGUGACCAUCUUUUUAGGUACAAAUGUCUUGUAUACACUUAUGAGCCCCUUUUUUUUGUUACAAAUGUUUUUAUGAAUUGUUUAUGCGAUUAAUGACUGUGUUCGAUAUACAAUGCAAUGAUUAAUAUGGACAAUGUGGAUUAAUCGUUGUAUUGAAUCUUGUCAAAAUGGAUAGAACUAAAGAGAGUAAAGAGCAUUCACAUUCAGUGGGAAAAAUGUUUACUAAGAGCUGAGUUAGAAAUGAAUCACUAAGUGUUUAAGGAAUUUUAGAAUUGUUAGAGUUAUGUUUUAGCUUAGGUUAUAAAUGAUUUUAUGUAUUGAGAUUAUUGUUUCAUGUACUUUUAGUGUUUCUUUAUUUAAUAAUAUUUAUUCAAUAAUAAUUUGAAUAUAAUAUAUAUUGCUUGGAUUGGUUUUGGCUUUGAUUGGUUCUGCUUUCAAUUUGUAGAUUUGAGUUCAUUUAACAAAUUAACAAAAUAUAAAAAAAAUUGCAAAAACAACAUCGGUUCUAUCAAAAUUGAUGUUGUAUUGUGCUAUACAAUAUUGGUUUUCACCAAAAUCGAUGUUGUAAGUACUAUACAACAUUGGUUUUGACCAAAACAAUGUCAUUUUUUCUUUUUUGUCUAUUUUCUAUCAUAUCACGUCUGUUUUGGGUAGAACCGAUAUUGUAUAGUGGUUUUUAACAUCAAUUUUUAUAACCGAUAUUAAAAAUGACUUACUUUUAAUGAUAGUGAUUUCAACAUCUGUCCAUAACCAAUAUUAAAUAUAAAAAAAAAAAACUAAUGUUAAAUGUCAAUUUUUUAGUAGUGAUAGUUCACAAUGAGUCUAAGUCUUGGACUUCUUGAUUAAAGAUGACACUCGAUGAUAAGAGAAGCUCAUAAAGACAAUCAAACACAUGUGAUGAUUAGUAGAGUAAUAACAUAUAUUUGGAUCAUGUGGGUACUUAGUGUCUCUAUGUAAUUUUUUUUAUAAGGUUUAACUUUGGAUAAUCAAUAUAUAAUUAGGGUAACAAAACAUGACCUUAUAGUAAUCCAAUGUAAUAAAAGUUCUUCUAAUAAAAGAAUAUUCUAAAUUCUUUAGUGUGUUUGACAUGAAAAAAUGCAAGGAAUUCUUUGAUUUAAGUUGUAUAAAAUAAUGAGUAAAAUAGGUUGAUUGUCCAAACUAUGUCACUUUGAGAAACUAAACCCCAAAAGGGAGUCGUUCUAAAGCAUAUUAUAAGCAAGAAAUUGUUUUGACUUUUAACUGGAUCAACACAUUAGUUUGACAAACAAGUUUCAUGCCACGUCAUUUGUUUUUAAAAAAAUUAGUCUAGAAGGACACAUGCAAUGAGGGGCCCACUCCGAUAAAUUUGUGGAACACAUUGUUAAUAAUGAAAAAGAUCAAUUUUUUUGUCAUUCCAGAUGAUAGAAUAUAAGGAGAAAAAAAGUUGUAUCUGCCACAUGUCAAAAAAUCAAAGGUGACACUUAAAUGAACAAAGCUUCAACCUUGUUAAGUGAUUUAUUAUAUACAACUACUAAGCAUUAACUACUUGCUCGGCUAUUUGAUGUGGGACUAAAGUAUGAUUUUAUACUCCCACAUCUACAACUAAGUUUGUCUCCUCAAUAUAAAAUUAAACACAUUAUCAAUCCUAUUAAAUCUACACUUGACUUUUAUAUCGCAGUAAAAAAAAUAUAAUAUAGUCUUUCCAACGUUAUAUAUAUUGGAAAAAGUUAUUUAAUACAAAACUUAUUUUCGUGCAAUAUUUACUUUAAUAAAGUAUCACUUUAAUUUUUUCCCCCAAAUUUUAUAUUAUAUAUAUAUAUAUAUAUAUAUAUAUAUAUAUAAUUAACUAUUUUUCAUUAAUAUUUACUUUAAUAAAGUAUCACUUAAUUGAAAUUCAUGCAAUUCAUAUGGUAUGUUUUGGUACUUCUGAACUCAUAUAUAUGUAAAUAUAUAUAUAUAUAUAUAUAUAUAUAUAUAUAUAUAUAUAUAUAUAUAUAUAUAUAUAUAUAUAUAUAUAUAUAUAUAUAUAUAUAUAUAUAUAUUGCAUGUUACGUUUAAAUAUAAAAAAAUCCAACUAAUUUUAUUCUAUUUAAUUAUAUUAUUUUUAAAAUGUUUUUUUAUUUAAUUUUAAUUUUAUUUUUUGUGAUUCUUUUUUAUUCAUGAUAACAAAUUUUAAUGAAAAAUAUUUUAUAAAUAAUUUUAUUUUUUUACUUGAGAUUAAAUAAAUUAAAUAAUAUAAACUAAUUUUCUUAAUUAAUAAGCAAUUAAUUAUUUUUACUUAUAUAUAAAUUUAGAGAAGUAAUAAAUAAUCUUUUCAUUAUAUUUGUAAACGAAUAAGAUAUCAUAAUUAAACUAAACAAGAUCAUCAACAUCAACAAUAAAUAAUAGUCUUACUGAACCGAUCGAAUCCAAAAACCUCGUUAUCACCUAUUAUAAAUGAACUAUAGUCCAAUUACUGCAAUUUUUAGAGAUCUAUAUAAAAGGUCAUUGGCAAAGAGGAAGACAUAAUUUAAGAACGAUUAGUUGAGAGGAUAGCAUUAACCGCCUGAAAGAGACUUGCGAAUGAUAUGUUUCCAUUACAGACACGAAUUAAAUUAGUUAAGAUAGCAUAUUGACUGAAUACACCACUCGAUCAGUUUGGUUGCCAUCAUUUUACUAUGUCGACUGCAAUGGGAAAUAUAAAAGAACAUCAGUAAAUGACAAAUUUUAAACUCUACUUGAUAAAUGUUUAAAAUUCAUCUCCUGCACAUUAAUUUCAAUUCAAGAUUUUGUUGGGAAUAAAUUUGUAUGACUACGAUCUAAGUCAUCAUGUAAUCAAUUCUAAUUUUAAAAAUAAAAUAUUAAUUUAUUUUCAUUGUCAUAUUUCACUAUUUGAUUAAAUGAUUCAUUUGAUAAUGUCGUUAAUUAAAAUUAAAGACUUGUUAUUAUGAUAGAGAUUAUGAUAAUGAGAAACAAGUUUGUUUUAAUUUUAAUCUAAAUCAUUCUUGAUCAUAAGAUUAUUGUAAAUAAGAUAUCAAUAAUCCGGAUAGAUUAAUAUAUAUGUGAUAAUAUUUAUUAGAUAAAUAUUAAUAGAUCUCAUUUAUUAAUUUGUAUAUAUAGAUGAGUCACAUAUUGAUGUAAUCAUUGAACUGAUCCAAUUGAAAUUUUUUAAUGAUUAAAAUUUAUCAUAAACUGUCAACAGAAAAUUCUCAAGAAGAGGUAUAAUAGCUUUCUUUGACAUGAUGAGAUUGUCAUAGUAAUUAACAGGUUAUUUGUUGUAUUUUGAUUCCAGAUACCUAAUGCUUUAGAGCACUUGUUGAAUGGAUAUUUGAUAUGAUUAAAUACCUGUAGAAUUAAUGAUUAAUCAAGAAGGAAUUCAUCAACUCUUGGUAAUGAGUUUGAGCUCUAUGAAUAAAAUUAUAUCAUGAUCAGGAAAAUUAAAUGAAAGAAGAAAUGAGUUUCUUAAGUCAUUAUGAGUUAACUCAAGAGGGUUUGACAGUAAUGUCAUACUCUAGAGUUAAUCUAAAGCAGUAAAGAUGAAAGAAAUUAUUACACUACUCUUCUAAUGGUUCUUGAAAGUAAAAUGAUACUUCAUGUUAUCCGGACGUUAAGGAGCGUUGCUAGACGUCUACCUUGAUUAGUAUAUUAAUUUGAUUAAUAUAUUACCAGCUUAGUAUUGAACCUACAGGGUCAUACACAAACGACGAGUGUUCUAAUCUCUGUUAAAGAAAUUAUUUUAAUAUUUGAUGAUUAAUUAAAUUAGAGAAUUUAAUAUAAUCAAAUGAUUAAUUGAUUUCAAAACGGUGGAAUAUUAUUAUAUUUUUGCUAGCACUGAAAAUAUAAAUAAUAUGAAAGAUUUUGUGAGAGAAGAGAAACAAACAUGUAUGAUUUUGAUUUGGAAUUUGGGUUGAAAAGGAGGCUAGAUACAACUUGGUCAAUUAUUAUUUCAAUUUUAAUUGCUAAAUGGUUAGCAAUAAAAGCUAACAAGAAAUAAUAUAGCUUAAAAAAGAUACUAUCAAUAAUGAUUUGGAUUUGAUCAGAAAUUUGGUAUCCUUAACGUACUAUAAAUAGAGCCUUAGUUUGCACGUUGAAAUCAUCCUAAUAUCACUUCUCUAUUCUUAUCUUUUCACUGAUCAAAGUUGUUGACUAAUAGAGAUUAGUAUCAGUGUGGAUACACGUAACGUCUUCACACUAUCGAUGAAUGUUUAUGCUUCAAGAACUCGUUAAUAGGUACACUCUUAAUAUGUCAUAUAUUUAUAGUAUAAUUUAAAUAUAAAAUAAAUAUUUUUAUUCCGUAAUAUAUAUUUUUUAAACACCUUUUUUACAUAUUCUUGUUCAAUUGUUUAAACAGGUGAGGUGUGUGAAUUAUUAUAAAGUUUUCAUACCUCAUUUCAAUUCCUACAUGUAAAAAAAAAACAUAAUUUUAAAACAUCCUGCCCCAAAAGAAAAUCAUUACCUUUUCUUUCUCCGUGGAAAUUAAGCAAUAAAUGGAGGUAUGAAAGAAAAUCGAAAAAAACACACAAAAGGAAAUCAGAAAAGGGUGAAAGUUAAACCAACAAUACAACUGCGAAUUUGAUACUACACCCGAAGCCGCCUAAUCAAUGAUAGUCGGUGCAUAAACAGUUUUUUUUUUUUAGGUGUUCAUCAACAGUUUAGUACGGAUAGAAUGCAGCAAGUUGUGUGGUUUUGUUAUUUUCUCUUGUCUUUGUCAUCUAACUUUAAUCGAAUUAAUCAUAAAUGGUGGUACCUUCCCUAGCAAGUUGAAUGUUGAUCACGAGACCCUACAAAUUAAAAUACGUGUAUACAUCAAAUGUAUGAUAUUAAGCCAGGUGUACAAAAGAUGAAACAUUUUGUUUGCAGCAUUAAAUUGAACCCAACUACCAACUAACUCAUGCCAGCCACAGCACAGGACUUUUGUAUCAAUUCAGUUGAAAAUAUACAGCACAUUUUUUUUAAAUAUAUUAUUUCUCAAAAUUGACAUAUUUUAAAGCAUUUUUAUUUUUAAAUAAAAAGAUUGGAAAGAUUUGAAAAAUGAGUACACCUGUGUAAUAAUGUAAAAAAGAAGAAAAAUAAUAAUAACAUUUUAAGUAAUUUGGAUUAUGAAAAGUAGAAGAAUUUUUUUAAAAAAAUCUACUAGCUUCCUUUGUUAGAGGGACAUGAGUCCUCUACAUUCCUUCUACAGCCUCUCUAUCUCGAUCUCUCUAACUUUCUUUAUAUUUCUACUGUAUGCAUUUUUUCUUCUUCUUUCUUUUUCCUUUUAUUAUUUUUGGCUACAGAGACAAUAGAGGAAUAUCUAUUUUGUUUAUUAGGGUUUCAGAUAAAAAAAAAUGUCAAUUUUUAUUUAUUCGAAAAUAAAUAUCAAUUUUGUGAAUAGUAAUAUAAGAAAGAUAAAAAAAAUUACGCUUCUCUGAACAAAAUAUUUUCUCCAUCAAGGGAAAUUAUUCUUUCUAGUCUUAAUUAUCAUUUUUUAAUUUCUUUCCAUCUCUCUUUUUCCUCUUCUAAAGAAUAAAAAAACGACAUAUUAUACGAAUUCAGUUAUGUGAAUAAUUAAAAGAUUUAACUGCAUAACACAAAUGAACUCAUUUUAACGAAUUAAAUAAAUUGAGUAGUUGACUCGCUUUUGAAAUGAAACAAACAAAGUUUAACAUAAUAUGUUUUAUCCCUUUUUAUGUCACACCACUUGACACACAACAAAAACACAAAAAAAAAGGGUGAAAAGAGGUUUUUAUUAUUUCCAUAAAUGUAAUUAGAAGUAAUUGCAGAUCGAAGUGAUUAACUAGAGAGACAUUCACAUUCACAUUCACUCCCCCCACAUCAUUAACUCUUGUACUCUUUCUCUCCCAACCUUCUUAUUAAGUAUGUUUACCAUUCACCAAAAAAAAAAGUAUGUUUACCACUCCUCUUACUUUAUCCUCUUUUAAAUAAAUUUCCCUCUUCCUACAUUGUCGCAAACAAAGUAAAUGUAAAUAUACAUUUUAUUUUGGGGUGUAUAUAUUGGAGCAGAAGAAAGAGAAAUGAAAAAAAAAGAAAAAAUUAAUAAAUAUGCUAAUUGACAUAAUAUAAAAUAAAACGAAAAAAAUACAUAUAUAAUUAUAAGAGUUGAAAACAACAUCCACAAACCACUUGAGUUUAAGCUCUUCACUUUACACUACUUUUUUUUGUCAUAUCACGGGACACUUAACAAAAUCAUUGAGGAAAAUAGUGAAAAGAAGUGUUUAUUUAUUUUUCCAUUAAUAUUGAAGUGAUAUUAACUAGAGAAAAUUAAUCACAUUCACGUUCACAUUCACUUCCCCCUCUAUAUAAACCCUACACCCAGCACCGCUCAUACUCACCAAGUGAACCAAUAUAGCCCAAGCCCUAUACAACCAAACCCUAACACACACCCAUUUGAUUCAGUUUCCAUGGCUAGCCUCAAGGUUGCAUUUUUGGCUGCAGUGCUCUGCAUGGUUGUGGUGAGUGCACCCAUGGCACAUGCAGCUAUCACGUGCGGGCAGGUGACGAAUAGCCUGAUCAAUUGCAUCGGUUACCUCCAGAACGGAGGAACGCCGCCGUCGGGAUGCUGCAACGGAGUGAAGAGCCUCAAUGCCGCCGCCAAGACCACCGCCGACCGCCAGACGGCGUGCAACUGCCUCAAGUCGGCCGCCAGCCAAAUCUCCGGCUUCAAAGCCAACAACGCCGCCUCGCUCCCCGGCAAAUGCGGAGUCUCCAUCCCCUACAAGAUCAGCACCUCCACCAACUGCGCUACGUAAGAAUAUAUAUAACUUCAUUUUAAUUAUCAUCAUAUUUUUUUCCCACUCUCACUAUACUCUCUUUUUGCUGAUGAAAUUAUUCUAUAGUCUAAAGUGACAAAAGGAUGGCCUUUUUACAAGUAUAAAAAAAUUCAUUAGAAAGCCUAACAACUAACUAAUUAAUUUUCACCUAACAUGUUUUGAACUAAUAUAUCAUGAAACAAGCAAAAUCUUAUAUUUUGAAUGUUAUCUCUUUUAUUUUUGUAUAUUUAAACCCACGUAAUUCCAGUUUUUAUAAUCAGUCCUCUCUGACUCAAGAUCUUGGGUAAGCCUUGUCUAGGAUAAUAAUUUAGAUUAAUUUCUAUUUGAUACUUAGUUGCACUUUAUUGAUUUUUUUUUCUCGUAAAUGUAGAGAUCAAUUGAAACUGUAGAUAAAGGACGAUUGCAAACCAUACCUUAAAUUUUUAAAUUCAUGUUACUGAUAUCUCAUCAUAGGGAGAAUGAAAUAUGUCAUAAUAAAAUAAAUUAUAAUUUUCAUGUUAAUUUUAAGUAACUAUAAAUAAUUUUUUUUUAAAAAAACUAUUGCAUAAAAAUUAUAUAUUUUUUUUCAUUUUUAAUGAUUUAAAAGUAACUCUAAAGAUUAAUGAUAGCAAAACCAAAUGAAACAAGAUACUAGUAUAUUGUACACUUCCGCCCCUAUUCUUUCAUUAAUAUACUUCUACUUCAGCUCACUAUGCAAACUAUACUAAAUAUAGAGUAAUCUAUUUUGAUUUGACCGUGUUCAUUACCUUGAUUCAUUUGUUGGUUACACUUUGCAGCAUCAAGGUUUGAAGAGAAAGUCAUGGACGCAGGAAACCGGAAACUACUCACUAGUAUAUGAGUAGCAUUAUUAAUAUUAAGAAUAAGAUCGAGGGUGAUGAGGGCUCCACUUAUAUGCCCCUCUCCUCUUGUAUGAGAGAUUUGUAUUGGAUAGCUUUAAAUUGUGUUGCGUUGUUAUUUCUCUGUAUGAGUUACACAUAGUUAUAUCUACUUUAAUAUUGGGUUCUCCCUACUUUGUCUCGUUGCUCUUUUUUGGAUUUAUCAUCGAUAUCACUCAUCACAUCUCUAUAAUUAGCUGAUAAAAAAACAACGAUUAGUAAUUGGUACUAAUAUUUGGAUCAAUUUAAUUUGAUUAGUUUGUUGAUAAAAAAUAACAGUUUUACAUUAUAAGUGAAUUAUAAAUGUCUCUUAUUUAAAAUAGCAGUGUUAAAAUGUCACAAAAAUCAUCAUGUGAAUAACGAGUCCUAAAGGUUAUAUAAUGAUUAGAAAUGUCUCGCUUUCAAAUUUUAAUGGUGAUAAGGUACGGUGGUUGAAGGUCUUUCUCAGAUAUUCAUUAUGAACCUAUUGGAAUUGUAUGUCAAACAUAUCAUAAAUGAAAAGUCGAAAGUACUAGAUUACAUACAUACCUUGCUAACUUUUUUUUUUACCAAACCUUGCUAACUUAAUCACUUCCAUUAUUUAAACGUCAAAAAAAUAUAUUAUAGGUGAUAUUGUAUAUAUAAUUAAACGUACAAUUUUUUGCCAGUCACAAAUAUUGUUUGAUCCAGUCAGAAAUUUAUGAUUAAAAAACAUUUUCCUUAUCUAUUUGUCUAUAAACUCCGCAUAUUUGUAAGAGGUUAAAUCUUAGUUUUAAGAAGUCAAGCUAUGAUCUCAAUAUAACAUAAACUAUUCUUUUAUGAGAAUAAAGCAAAUUAAGAUUCUAUUUUUCUUUUUUUCUUUCUUUAACUAAAUAAAAACCUUUAAAAAAUAAAUAAAUUUAAUAUUUUCUUUUUCUGCAUUCAAACUAAAUCGAAUGGCCUGACUAUUGAAAAACGUAAACUUCUCUAUCUUUUGUUAAAAGAAAAAUGAAUUUUAUUGAUAAAAGCCUAAUAGGUAGUCAAAAUUCACACAAAAAGUGCCAGAACUGAUCGCAAAAGUCCAAGACAGAAACAGACGAAAAUCAUUCAAUAAGGACCAAAACAGACCAAAUUUUCAACCUCCCUAGUUCCUAGCCAUACCACUCCACACACGUUAAAAAAACACAUACUUGUAAAGGCCCAGACCACCCCGCAACGCAUUACAAAAUCAGCUAAAAAUAGAGAAGAAAGAGAUAAGGUGGAAUUUUGAAUUGAUUGGUUUGAGAAAUAUUAUAAAAAAUAAAUUUAAGAAAAAUAAUAUUUUGAGAUAGUUUGAUUUGAAUAAAUGGAAAGAAGAGAAAUUAGAGUAAAUAAAAAAAAUAUACCAUUUUAUCCUUACCAUCUAAAAUAAUUGCUCGUACCAAUUUAAUUUAUUAUGCAUGUGUUUGUUUGCAUGUUUAGAGCCUUUUUUAUCGUCAAAAUAUAAAAAACAACGCAGAAGCUUCAUUUUGCUGCUUCAAGCUUGACCUGGGUCAAUGAUGUUGGACGCUAAACCAAAAAGACAUUAUAUAUGUAUAUGGUAAUCGAUUAAAUUGUUCUUCUAAGAAUCACAUCAUUGCAUUCUUCUAUUUAAUUGAUUAUUAUAUGAAUAUCUCCACUAAUUAACUGGUUCAUCCACGAGUAAACAAGCAUGGUGAACAACCUCAGCAUAUAUAUUGUGUAGAAUAUCAAAAUUGUAAGUAAAUUACCUUGUAGAAUUAGGAGGCACUUAUAAAACUAAGAACAAAUUAAGAUCAUCUCCACGAAAUAGAUCUUCCACACAAUACAUACAUUAUUGAUUAUUUACGCGGGGAGUACUAGCAGCGGCGCAAGGUUGUGUUUUUCGUAAACUUUCACGGUUGCUUUUCGUGCUAAACAGUAUUUUUCAAUUUCUAUUUAGAUUUUAAAUCCACCUAUUGCAAGUUUUGAGAGUUGGGCAUUUGUAACUAUGAAAUUAUCAAGCCAGGACCAAGUUAUCAUGCCUUAGAUAUUUCACCUCAGUUUUUUUUUAUCAGCAAAAUAUAUUUAUAGAUAGGUAGAAAACGGAACAACACGGUACAAGUGGUACCGUUAAAACAACAGAACAACUGCAACUAGAGUUACAACAUAGAAAGGGAGCAUCCACUUAAUCCAUACCUCACAAAAACCCAAUCUUCCUUAAUGCAAGUGUUUGGAUUACUCAACCAGACCUACCAUGAAGAGCUAAAGGCCUCAUCUUUGGAAGAAAGCACUACUAAAAAAAUACUUUUUUACAAUGCACCUUCGACACUAGUUCCCACAAAACAGUCUUAGUAUAUAAAAUAGUGGCAAUUUUGUAAAUAUAAAGUUUUUCAACAAAGACGAUUUUACAAAAACCGUCUUAGACAGGUAGCUUUUUAAGAUGGUUUUGCAAAAACCAUCUUAAAAUGACAUUUUUCUAAAACGGUUUCGCGAAAACUAUCAUCAAAGGAUGAGAGACUUUUCGCUGAGAUUAAAUUCAUCCAUAAACCUAGGUAGACCCUAACUACUUUCAUAACAACAGCCAAAGGUGACCUUUGGAGUUCAGGUCGCACGGGUUGUGGAAGUUUCGAGACUUGACCUAACGGCACACGAGGAUUUGUUGGGGAUUUGUUGCGCUUCCCUAUAGCCUCCAGAUCCAGAAGACCUUCAACAACAUCAAGAUCACCAUUGUCUACGACUUUGUACAACGAGGUCAUCAACCAAAAUCUCAUUGAGGAGACCAACCGCAUCCUCGUCAAGAUUCAAUAUGACGCUGACCCUUUCGAUCCCAACGACCAACAAUUCUUCAACCCUAACGACACCUUCACCCUUCACCCAAAAAAUUGGCUUCACCAAAACCCCGAGUACCCUAAUUUCCUCAAAGGUAAACCUCGCAUCUUACUCCUUACCGGUUCCCCUCCCAAGCCCUAUGAUAACCUUAUUCUUGUUUCAAAUUUAAUUUAUUAUUAGGGUCUAAUUCAUUAUUAUGUUUGUAGAAGAAAAUAUGAUAUGAAGUUUUAUGAAGUUUUGAUAAUGUCAAAGAUAAGCGCUUCUCACGUUUGAUCCAAGUCAAGAAUCCAAAAAUUCAAGAUAAUUGAUGAACUUAGUUCCUAGAAUCUAAGGAAGAGUUUCUUAAAUGAUGAUGCACAGGUUUCGCCAAAGGAUAUUUUCCAAAAAUUUUUGAGAUUUCAUAAAUAUGAUAUUUACUCUCUGAUAAUCGAUUACCAGAGGCUGUAAUCGAUUACCAGUGGCCAAAAUAAUUUCUGAAAUGCUCUUACAAAAUUUGAAUUUAAAUUUUAAGCCUAUAACCGAUUACACAAGGCUUGUAAUCGAUUACCAGAAGUUUUAAACGUUUUGUAACAGCCUUUAGAAAUUUGAAUUUAAAUUUUAAAGCCUGUAAUCGAUUACCAGACAUGAAAAUUCAAAUUUCAAAUCUGAAGAGUCACAACUCUUCAAAAACUAAUUGUGUAAUCGAUUACAACAGUUAUGUAAUCGAUUACCAGUAAGAAAUUUUUGAAAAUAACUCCCAAAAGUCACAGUUGUUCAAGAAGUUUUUGAAUAACCAUCAAAGACCUAUAAAUAGGUGACUUGGGACACGAAAUUCCUCAGAGUUUUCCUGAACAAAUUGUCUUAUCCUCUCAAUACCAAAUUGUCUUAUAACUCUCAAAAAGAAUUCCUUGGGCAAAACACUUGCAAAUUCAAUAAGGAAUCUUAAGUGAUCUUCAUUUGUAAUAUAUUUCUCUUAAAGAGAGAAUUCUUCUUUUUCUUCUUAUUCAAAUAAAUUGAUUAAGGGACCGAGGGUCUCUUAUGUUGUAAGAAUUUCUGAACGCAAGGGAAGGCUUGUCCCUGUGUGGUUCAGACUUUGUAAAAGACAUUUUACAAGAUAGUGGAAAUCUCAAGCGAGCUGCUUGGGAACUGGAUGUAGGCACAAGGCGUGGUCGAACCAGUAUAAAAACUGAGUUUGCAUUCUCUUUUCCCUUGAACUUCUUUUAUUUUAUUGCAGUUUAUAUUUCGCUUUAAAGAAGUUUAUUUUGAAUUGUUCUUGAAAUAAUUCAUAAUUAGGGUUUCAUUAUUAAUUAAAAAGAGAGUUAAAUUUUAAUUGGGGAUAGUUUGGUAUCUCAAUUCAACCCCCCUUCAUAAGAUACUAAGGCCACUUGUCUAACAAUGUUUGGUAUUGCGUCUUACAGUAUCAGUCCAAACAUUUGAGAAGGUUAGCUCGAAACAUUUUAUGGGGUUUGUGAGAAAGAUCCAGACAAGGUAAAUGUUUUUCAUGAAUUAUGUAGAAUAAUAAUAUGAAUAUUGUACCAUAUUAUCUCAUUCUUGACUCAAAUACUUAUCAAAUGCAACUUGUGUUCUAGUAUUAGGUUCUACAAGCAAUGAUUCAAAUGGGAGUUCAUGUCCCUACUGGAGAUAUGACUGUUAUUAGAAGAACAACACAAUUCUUCCUCAACAGGUAUUUAUAAACCAAUUUAGUGGGAAUAUAUCUCAAAUGGAAUCACCUCUAGUACUUAAGCAAUGAUAUUUCUACAAGUUAAUAGUAUUAUACGGAAAAUUUAAGGGUUGGAGAAUCCAAGUCAAAAUAUUUUAUCUUGAAAAAGAAAGGUUGAUAACUGUGAAAUAUGAGCUAAUUUGAUAGUUAAUUGUGGCUAAUAAAUAUGUGUAAUUUCUUUACUUUAUUAUUGUUUUUAAGGAAAUAAUGAAAAAAUUAACAUCUUUGCAAUUUUUUAUUAGCAAAAUUCAAAAGAAGAAGAUUUCAAGUGUUUUAGAGGAAAAAUUGAUGCAAAAACUGGAAGAAAAAGCCUUGAAGAAAAGUUGGAAUAAUUGGACAGCUCGCUUAGCGCGUGCUGCAAACUUAGCACGCGUUGAAGGCUUAGCGAGCAAAAAGCCUACAGCGAAGCCCAAAUGUGUGCUUAGCGUGAAAUCUCACACUAAGCACGAUUUCAGCGUAAAAAUUAAGCUACCAGGAGCCUAUAUAAGGAGGAGAAAGAAAAAGGGAAAGACACAUCGAGUCUCGAAGCUCUCCAGUGAAAAAAUCCAAAGUCUGAGUCUCUCCCUUAAGGGAAAUCCUCUUUUCUUAUCCAUGCCCCAUUUUCUUACUACUAGUCAUCCAGCCCUUUCUUCCAUUAGUCUCUGAAGUGUAAAUCCUCUCAUGGCUAUGAGAGGCUAAACCCUUAUGUUGGGAGCCUAGUAGCCAAUGCCUUUGUAAUAUAACUGUUCUUCUUAUCUAUUAAUGCAAUUUCAUUUUCUAUUGUUUCUUUUCUAUUUUUCAUCUUUAUUGUGUGGUUUAGCCAUCCAUGCAUCUGUUUUUAGGGGUUAUACAUUGGGAAAUGAUAAUUUCUAAAGAACUGGAAGGGGCAUCUCAAUAUUGCAUUACUAGGGAUAGAGUGACUUUGUUGUGCCUCUGCAUACAUCUUUAUAUUUAAUGUUGUUUAUGAUUCAAUCUUUGUAAAGAGAUUUGGGAGAAAGAAUACAUAAAUUAGGUUUUUCAUCAUGAGGGAUCAGGGUUGAGCAUAUUAGUAGAUGUGGGUGGAAAUUGGAAAAACAGUUAAUAGAGAAAAACAUUAAUAUUGCAUCAAGGAUAGUUAGGCAUGUUAGGCCCCAACAUUAUUACAUUAUGAACUCAUCUUUUUGCAUUUAAAUUACUGUUUAUUUUUGUUAUCUUUUUCUUUUCCUUUUAUUCCCAAAUUUCACACUUACAAUUCCCUUUCUCUUCUACUUCUCUUUCUUACAAAUUGAGUAUUUACCAACGUAAGUACAAACAAAGUCCUUGUGGACUCGACACUCGGUCUUCCAUUUUAAUCUUUACUACUUGUGAUAAAAAUUGGUACACUUGCCAAUCUAUUAACAAAGGUUUUGCAUAUUCAAUAUAUUUCUUUAGAUGGUUCUUUGGUUUGUUUCAUUUAUACCUGUCAUGUGGGAAGCUGAAAUGCAUGUAGUUGGGUUGUUUCAUUUGGGAAAGUAGUAAGAAAUAUUGGGUCGGAUACAUGCAACUCCAAUCAAGGUAUUGUUUGAACUGAUCUUUUGGAUAAUUUGUGUUGCUAAAGUUGUGAGUAUCUUAUUGAUUGCUAGUAUUGGUAGAUAAUGAUGAUAUGUUUAUAUGGUCCUAGCCUCAAAGGUAAUUGUUAGAUACUUCACCUUCAUGGAUCAAAUAUGCAUGGAGAUGUGGGAGGGGGAGAAAGUAGUGCGAUCAAGUUUUGUAUUUUUUAGAAGUCUCAUAUGGUUUGAAUUAAAGAUGGGUAUGGAUUUGGUGGGAGGAGAAUGUGCGAGGGUUAUGUGCAUGGAGAACGUUUGGAAAUGGCUGGUGCUACGAGAAUUGAGUUAUGGCAUCCAGUAAUGGUUAAGCUCUAUGAUUAAUUAUUAGUUAUUACAAAUAUAUCUUGUGCAAACUUCCAAAUGGUGCGGCGUGCAAUUUCUCCUAUGAAAACGGGGACAAGUUGGUCUAAUUAAGUCGGGAAUUUGAUUUGCUUAAUUUUUCUACUAGGAAAGAUUAUGUGCUAUUAAUGGUUAGUGGACUACCAUUGACAGAAAUGGAUAGUUAUAUACUUUGUAACCGGAAAUCACAUAUAGUAAUAUAAUCUUGUUAGUUUUAAUUAUAGGGUAUUUAAUUAAUUUACCUCUAGACAAAUUGCUUUGCACCCAAAUUUCACUAGACUAAUUUGAGAUAUUAACUAUUCUAACAACUAGUUGAUAUGCUACAUUGCUACUAAUGUGAGGACAACCAUAACUCAUAAUUAGAGAAUGGUCCUUUUAUUUUCAAAGACUUCCUUUGGUGUAAUAACAUAGUCAAAUACUAACUGAUGCAAUGGUUGAUUAUCACAACAUAUUUUUUUAAUGCGUUUCUUGGUUUAACUGUGAUAUCAUGCAGGCUGUAGUUAAGAGAAUGAUUGGUGUACAACAUUUCAUUAUUGAUUUAUAGCUUACUAGUCCUUUUGCCUAAGUUGAUUUCUUACUUGAUGUUAUUGCAGGAGCAUGUGAGGGAUGGAUUGCGUGUUCAACUUGCCAUGUUAUAUUCAUUAUUAUGGUUAAAUUUUUUUAAAAUUUUUAAUUUUUUUUAAAAAACACAUAUUCUAAGAGGGAAUGCUUACAUUUUAAGGCGUUUUUUUGGGGAAACCGUCUUAGAAUCCUCAAAAUGUUAAAAUUUUUUUAAAAAAAUAUAUUCUAAGACUAUUCUCUAAAGAAAAAAUCAUCUUAGAAUCCUCAAUAUAUUUUAAUUUUUUUUAAAAAAAUACAUUAUAUGACGGUUCUCUGAAAAACCCUCUUAGAAAGUCUACCCUUCUAAUACGAUUUUUAACAAGAACCAUCUUAGAAGGUAUCCUUCUAAGACGAUUUUUAGUUAAGAACCGUCUUAGAAGGAUACCUUUUUCUAUGAUGGUUUUUAUGGAACCGUCUUUCUACGAUGUUGCCUAUGAUGAUGGUUAAUAAUCGACGUCGAAUGUGUCUUUUAACUGACUUAGAAAACGCUUUGUCCAGUAGUAAAGCCACAACCAUGAUGUCACUUUGAUUAGCUCGAUGAAUUUUUGAAUAUCCCUUUCUUCCUCCUUGAACACUAUCAACUAUCAAGUUCCUAUGAAGCCACAAACUUCACACCAGUGCUUGCCAAAUUACCUUCCCUAUCUUAUUUUAAGGCAAUGUUUCCCUUAAUCAUAACAUGUUGCUGAAAGUGAUUACAUAACUUGUAAUGGAGAGCGCACUCCUUUAGGCUAAACCAAUCGUAAUUGGAAUUCCAUACUAGAGAUGCAAAACCACAGUUGAGAAGAAGGUGGUUUAUUGUUUCCAUCUACUAAGAACAAAAGGAACAAAGUUGACCACUAUUGUCCAUAAAAACAUUUCUCCUAAUCAAAUUCGUCUUUGAUUCAAUUCUAUCUAGCAAAGCUCUCCACGUGAAUCUCUUCACAUUUGAUAGGGCAGCCACCUUCCAGAUUGAAGCAGCACACAUACCAACCUCCCCCACAAAACUUUGUUGCUGCAAAACUCUGUACCCUUUGCUUACUGAGUAUAAUCCUGACUCACUUUGCUUCCAUCUCUAGUUGUCCCUAACAUGAUCUUUCACUUCCGAGAGCUAGGAAGCAUGGACACUUCCAAUGAAUUCCAUGUCCAUGUGUCUGACACCGACACUCUUCGGACUUGCGAUAGACAUUGUGUCGAACACGUUUUUCCAGCGCACAAUUCUUUUAAUUUUUUUUUUUGGCUUGGACAUGCCACAGACACUUCUCCAAAAAGUUGGAUACACAAAAAAUACUUCUCUAGACACACAAUGGAUACUUCUCUGGUUAUGUUUUUUAACAAAAAAUUUACAAACCAGCCCAAAAGAUUAUAUUAUAAAAAUUUAUUUUUAAAAUUAGCAUAUUUUGAUAACCUCUUUCACGUAACAUUUUGUCUUCUUCUCUUUUAUUCACGUUUGUGAUUUGUCUCUUUUGCACAACACCAUCCGUUCACAUUCUCGAGUACGCAGGUGUCACUGAUUAUUUUCCAUUCAUCAUUGCCUCAUCGGUGCCUCUAUUCGUCAUGUUUGGCUGACUUCGCGUUCAUGGUCUUUCUAUUUGUCACUUCAUCUUAUUUUUCUUUUCUAGUUCAUUGACUUUCCUCUCCUUUCAUGCAUUUUUUAUACACCCUUUGUUCGUCUUGAUAUAAAUCUUAAUUAUUAAUUUAUAUUCUUGUCAUGUUGAUCAUAUGUGUGUGUGUGUGUGUGUCAAGUCCCCGUAUCUUAUGGUUUAGAUUUUAGUCGUGUCCCAAUAUUUGUGUUUGUGUCGUGUCCUAUGUUCGAGUCCAUGCUUCAUAGCUAACAAGUUCACCUCAUCCAAAAACUCCCCCAUUAACUCAUAUUCCUAUUCAAAACACCUUUUCCUCCAUUUCCACUCCCAACACCACAUUUUCCAUCCACAACUUCAUUUAAGCUAUAAGGCAUUGUCUUUGUUUAGAUAAAGCAUAUAAUCUCGGGUAUCUUAUAGCCAAAGUCUCCAUUCCCCCUAUUUUUUAUGGCAUAACUCACAGUGUUCUCAUCAAACGAUUUCCCAUUUUUCCGAUUACCGCAUGCCCUUUCCACACCUUUCCACCAAUACGAUGGUUUAGAAAACCCCUCCCCCCUUUCCCUUCUUUAUACCCUCACCAUACUUAGACAUGAUUAUCCUUUCUCGAAGAGCCUCCUCAUUAGAAAAUAAUCUCCAUUUCCAUUUAGAAAGAAGAGCUAAAUUGAAGAGAUGGAUAUCUUUUACACCCAACCCUUCUUCCUCCUUAGGCCAACAAAUCCUAUUCCAUUUCACCCAAGCUAUUUUCCCUCCCUCUUCCCUCUUACCCCACAAAAACUCUAUUUGUAACCUCACCACUUUUUUAACCACCACAAUAGGAAUUUUGGAAAAAGAAAGGAAAAAAAGAGAUAACGAUUUGAGCACAAAGUUAAGUAAGCAAAUUCUUCCCCCAAAGGGUGCAUUCCUAUGUUUCCAUCUAUUAUGUUUCCUAUUCAUCUUUUGUAUAAUAGGCUCCCAUGUGCUUUCUUUGGCUGGAUUUGCACUAAUAGGGAUGCCCAAAUACUCAAAAGGAAGAUACAUUACCUUGCAAUUCAAAAGAGAAGCAUAAAUCUCAUUGGUGGCACUCUCAACAGCUACUCCUGCCAGUUUGCUCUUGAAGAAGUUUAUCUUUAGGCCCAAUACAAGCUCAAAACAUCUAAGGAUAGUCUUUAGGGUCAUAACGUGCUCCAUAGAAGGCUUGGCAAAAAAUAGAGUGUCGUCCACAAAUUGAAGUAGAUCAACCUCCAUGUGAUUUCUCCUUAUCUUCAUACUCAAGAACAGGUUUUUAUCUACCACUUCCCUCAUCAAUCCCGCUAGUCCCUCAGCCAUACAAAGGAAAAUGAAAGGUGCUAAUGGAUAACCUAGCCAUAAGCCUCUAUGCAUCCUAAACUCCUCGGCUGGGCUACCAUUCACAAGCACUAAUAAGAAACCUGAUUCAAUGCAUGCUUUCAUUCAUUUAAUCCAUAUCUCACAAAAAUCCAAUCUUCUAAGCAUAUAAAAAAGAAAUUUGCAAGAAACGAAAUCAUGUGCUUUUUAAAAAUCAACUUUGAAGAUCAAGCAUGGUUGUUUCUGUAGAAGCAAGCUUCAUGAUGAUGAAUCAAGUUGAUUCAAGUAGUUUUGAUGAUGACAAAGAUGAUGACAAAAAUCCUAAGAUAAUGAUUUCAAGAUUGAGUCAACAAGUUCAAGAUCAAGAUUAAUUUCAAGUUUCAUGAGAAGAAAUCAAGAAGAUUCAACAUUCAAGAGAAGUUUGGUUUCAAGAUUCAAGAGAAGAUGAAUUCAAGAUUCAAGAGAAGAAAUCAAGAAGACUUCACAAGGGAAGUAUUGAAAAGAUUUUUCAAAAAAACAAACAUAGUACAGUUUUGUUUUUCAAAAGAGUGUUUCUCAAAAUUUUCUAAGUUACCAGAGUUUUUACUCUCUGGUAAUCGAUUACCAAUUACCUGUAAUCGAUUACCAGAGGCAAAGUUUGAUUUCAAAAGCUUUUAACUGAACUUGCAACGUUCCAAUUGAUUUUUAAAUGGUGUAAUCGAUUACAAUAUAUUGGUAAUCGAUUACCAGUGUAUCUGAACAUUGAAAUUCAAAUUCAAUUGUGAAGAGUCACAUCUUUUCAUAAAAUGCUUUGUGUAAUCGAUUACAUGGUUUUGGUAAUCGAUUAUCAGUGACAAGUUUUGAAUAAAAAGUCAAGAAAUGUAACUCUUCCAAUGGUUUUCAGGUUUUUCUCAAGGUUAUAACUCUUCUAAUGGUUUUCUUGACCAGACAUGAAGAGUCUAUAAAAGCAAGACCUUGACUUGCAUUUGAAUAACUUUUUUCAUAUAUACUUUUACAACCUUUGAAUACCUUUGAACAUCUUUUUGAACUUCUUCUUCUUCUUCUUACUUUGCCAAAAGCUUUCUAAGUUUUCUGGUUUCCAAACCUUGUUCUUUCACAGAAAACAAAAGUGUGCUAUAUCUUUUUUUAUUCCCUUCUCCAUUUGCCAAAAAGAAUUCGACAAGGACUAACCGCCUUAAUUCUUUUUGUGUCUCUCUUCUUCCUUUUCCAAAAGAACGAAGGACUAACCACCUGAAUUCUUUUGUGUCUCCCUUCUCCCUUUUCAAAGAAUUCAAAAGGAUACAGUCUGAGAAUUCUUUUGAUUCUUCCCUUUCCCUUAAACAAAAGAUUUCAAAGGACUAAUCGUCUGAGAUAUCUUUUGUUUCCCCUUCACAAAGUUUUAAAGGACUAACUGUCUGAGAACUUUGUCUUAACACAUUGGAGGAUACAUCCUUUGUGGUACAAGUAGAGGGUACAUCUACUUGGGUUUUUGUAACUGAGAACAAGAAAGGGUACAUCUCUUAUGAAUCAGUUCAAGUGGAGGGUACAUCCACUUAGUUGUUCAAAGAGAACAAGGGAGGGUACAUCCCUUGUGGAUCUUUGCUUGUAAAGGUUUUUACAAGGUUGAAAAGAAAUCUCAAGGACCGCAGGUCGCUUGGGGAGUAGAUGUAGGCACGGGUUGUUGCCGAACCAGUAUAAAACUCUUGUGUUUGUCUUCUUCUUCCCUACACUCUUUAAUUUCCGCUAUGCACUUCAAUUAUCGCUUUUACUUUUGUUUAAGUUUCUAUUUCUGUUCUUUACUUUCUUAACAUUAUAGUAAAAGCCUAAUUGAAUCUAGUAACAUUAAGAAGGACAAAUUUUUAAUUAGUAAAGGUUCAUUAAUAAUUAAUUCAACCCCUCCCCCCCUUCUUAAUUAUUCCGAGGCCACUUGAUCCAACAGUUUCUUCCCUUUUUUUUACCUCAUCAACAACUUCAUUAGCCACCAUCACCCCAUCAAGCAUGAAUCUCCCACCAACAAAAGUGCUUUGUCGUUCAUCGAUUACUUUGCCUAACACCCUUCCAAGACGCAUAGCCAACAAUGUUGCUUUAAGUAAAUCACUAAUUUAAAAAUAAAUGUACUUAAUUUUAUAUAAGCACUUUAUAAAUAAAAAUAUCUUAAAGAAUUCUUUUCCAUCUUAUAAUUAAUGGCAUGUAUGCUCUUUAUCCUAUUCCAUGGGUAAUAAGACAAACACUUUUUUGUAUGUUGAUUUUUCUUACAAAAAAUAAAGUAAAAACUCAUGCAUCCUACAAGAGAAAUAAGCCUAAAUUCCCUUAGUCCCUAAGGAUUGUCCCUCUUAGGAAUUAGGGCAAUAAAAGGCGCAUUCCCUCCCUUGAGGAUCACCUUAUUGGAGUGGAACUCCUUCAAGCCUUAAUGAAAUCCACAUUUAGAAUAUGCCAAAACUUUUUUUAUGAAGGAGAAGUUAUAUUUGUCCCGACCAGGGCUUUUGUCUCCAUCACAAUCCCAUACCGCUUGCUUUAUUUCUUCAUCGUCAAAUAAAGCAAUGAGCAAAGUGUUGUCCUUUUCACCAAGCAAUUUAAAAUGCACUUCAUCAAAUUUCGGUCUCCUCCACUCUUCCUCUAAGAAUGUUUGUUGAAAGAAUUUCUUCAUUUGUUUUUCAUUUUUAUAAAUCAUCUUCCAACCUAUCAUUCACUUGAUCAUGAAGUCCCCUCAACAUAUUCAUUUUCCUCCUACCGUUAAUCAUAGCAUGAAACAAUUUUGUGUUACCAUCCUUUUCCUUCAACCACUUGCACCUAGUCUUUUGAUGCAUCAACGAUUCAAGCAUAAGAGAUACUUUCCAAAAUUCAUCAAAUAAGUCCUUCCUUCCCAGCACUGAUUCCUCACUCACAUCCUUCACCUCAUCUUAUAAAUCAAUCUCAUGAAUUUUUUCCACCAAUUCCCUUUUCUUUUGUUGAAAUUUUCCAAGUUGAUCUUUAUUCCACCUUUUCAACUCCCCCUUAAGUAAUGUGAGCCUUUCCUUUGACACAUAGCCCGCCCAGCCUCUCAUAUUCAUUCCUUUCCAUGAAUCCUCAACCAACUCUUUAAACUUCCCAUCUUGUAGCCAACAACUUAGCACCCUAUAGGAUUUAAGACCCCGAUCAACAUUGGAAUUUUUUUAGCACCAAGGGGCAAUGAUCUGGUACACUUCUCUUUGAAACAAAGGUUAUACUUCCCAACCAUUUUUCAAGCCACUCUUUAGAUACAAGGUAUCUAUCAAGUCUAUUCUUGCAAUGACUAUUGGGUUUAUACCAUGUGAACCUCCUCCUCACUAGUGGUGCAUCCUCUGGUUCCAUAUUUUGAAUGAAGUUAUUAAACUCAUUCAUUUCAGUUCCUCCUACCUCUAUCUUAAGUCUUCCUCUUCUUUCAUCCAUUUUCCUUAUUGCAUUAAAAUCUCCUAACACACACCAUAUCCCACUUCCCAAUUGAUUUUUUUACUUGAUGUAAAUCCUCUGAAAGCUUCCUCUUCUCAAGCAUAGUGCAUAGUGAAUACACGUACAUGAUCAUGCUUGGAUCUUCCCUUUCCUCCAUACCCCUUGCACCCCAAUAAAUCCACUUCCAAAAAAAGAAUUUUUCAUUUGGAAUAGCUCCUUUUUCCAUGCAAUAAAUAGACAUCCUACAACAUUAAUUGUUUCCCUUUCCAACCAUGCAACUUCAUCAACACCCCACAAUGAGUGAAAGAAGCUUUUGUCCACAUUUGUUAUUUUGGUUUCCUGUACAAACACCACAUCUAUUCCUCCCUCCUCUAUUAUUUUUCUCAACUCUUUCUUUUUUAUUCUCCCUCUCAUUCCUCUUAUAUUAUAGCUUAGUAUCUACAUAAUUCAACCAUGGUUGCACCUUCCUUUACCUCCUCUCCAAGUCUAUUCCUUUUGUCCCUUGUCAUUUUUCCAUAUGUGGAUAUUUUGGCAAUCAAAGCUCUGUAAGUUUUAAUUACACCAUACAUUCCUAUCAUUUCUCCCUCCCCCCUUUGAAACUUGUUUUCCAACUUUGUUUCCAGAUAUGCUUAUAGGCUUUAGCUUACUGUCCAUCCCCAAUUGCUUUGUGCCACAAGUUUCCCCUAGUUGCUUCGAGGGUCUCAUGCCUUCAAUGUUUUUUGCUCCCUUUUUCUAAUAUUCCUUCUUGCUUCUGUGUAACCACGUUUAUGCCCAAAGUCAUGUUAUGGGUUGAAGGUGAACUUAUGUCCAACAUCUUUUUCCUAUAAUUAUACUUAGGUUUCGCAGAUCCAUAAUCUUUAAAUUUUUUGCUCUAAGACUAGCCCACAUCUUCCUCCCUCGUAGCCUCGGGCUUACACUUAUUAACCUCAUUGUGUAUACCCGCAACUGCCAACUCCUUUUGAGUUUCUACCACAUAUUUCCCCAUCCCAUAGAGUAAGUUACCUACCUCCAUCUGGGCCCCACCAUUUCAAACUUCCUUUGUCUGCGUCCCUUCACCUUCUGACCCCUUCUCCUCCUUUUCUACACCUAUUGUUUCCCUUUCCUCAAUUGUCCCCUCAUUCCCUUUUUUAUUCCUUUUUUUUCCUGAUUUAAUUUUGUCUCUCCUUCUACAAGUUAUUGAUCUCCUCAUAGAGGGUAUUUUCCUUUUGUUCAUCCAUUUUGCUUAUGUCCCUUUGCCCAAAGUUUCCUUUUGUGUGUCUACUCCUCUACUAUAUUUUCUUUUUGUACAACCUAGGCAUGUUAUAAUGUCCUCUACUCUACUUUGCCCAUUUGAAUUUUUCUCCACCAGUACUUUCUCCCUGGCCAACGAUUGUGGUGCGCCUUUGGCUCCGCUUCCUUUUGCGACACCUCCCUAGAACCCUUUCAUCUUUUAUUUCUUCAUCAAAGCUUGAGCAUUCUGAUUCACUAGAAAUCCUACAUUCCCCAUCCAACCUGAAUACAAAUGAUUCUUCAUUUGAUUCAGAUUCACCCCCCUUCUGCAUCUUGCAUCAACAUAAGCUUUUCUUCUGACUUUUGUUUUCUUCCAACAUGAAGAUCGCACAAAUAGUGUUGUGGUUUUGACCUAUUGAUGUUUGUUGAUCAUCCUCGUUACUGAGGUUCUCACAAGUAUUCUUGCUUUGUCUAGCAUCGAGAAAAACAUGGUCCUUUCAUCAACCAUAACUAUAGAGCCAACAUAUGCUAUGAGUUUGCAAAAACAUCCCUGAUUCCAAAACUUAAAUGGAACGUCGUAACAGUUCACCCAAACCACUCAACUUCCUGCUCCCACAAAAUCUGACCAUGAGUACAUGUGUCCAAAUAUCUUUUUCCACCAUUCAGCAUUGUUCUUCAAAGCCAUCUCUAUUUUUAUAUCUCCCUUUAUAGACAACAAUGCCAAAUUGUCUCCCAGGCUUUUCACUUUGAUUGCCUCCAUGUCUUCCAAAAUGAAAAACUCUUUUAGCCUUGUUGUGUUGAUAUUAUUGCUCAUCCUAGCCACCCAACUUCUUCUCAACUAGUCAAUAUCAUUUUCCUCCAUUCUCAAGGUGGUCUAUUAAGUUAAAAGACAUUUGUAUCUUAAGGUGAAUAAAGACCCUUAAUUAUUUUGAUUACAUGUAAACAAAUACAAAGGUCAAAAGUUGUAUCUUAUGCAUCAUCAGAACAUGUUUUGUGAGUUUGCGUCUAAUUUUCCAGACGAUAGCAAGCUAAGAUCAUGAUUUUUUAGGACACUAAACUUGGCAUUUAAAGAUUUCACUUAAUGCUUUGUGUCUAAGAUUUGUUUAGCAGAGAUAUUCUCCUAGAAUUUGUCGAAUCCUAUGAAGAAUAAAUUAAGCUCAAGCUCUAAAAUUCAUCAAUUGCCAUCAAAAGAAUUGUUUUGUUGCACAAACCUACUUUUACGCAAAAAGAAGUGGUUUCUUGCUGAAGUAUUCAACAUGUUGGCAAAGAAGAUAGGUUGGCCAUUUUUUUCUUUUUUGUCUAAAUUUAUACAAAUUCAAAAGAAAAAAAUAACAAAAUAUCGAGCCAAAAAAAGAUGGAUUGAAUUCGAGUCUAUAUUUCUUAAGUCCAAUCAGACCCAACGGGCCCAUCAAGUCGACACAAAUAGGUUUGAUCUAUUAAGGUCAACAUUUUCUCAGUCCAUCUUGGCCUAACCCGGCAGGCUAAUAGGCUAGCCCAAUCCAUUUUGUCUUGUGGGUCAAUAUUUAAGUAUUUGAAUAAAAAAUAAUAAACCCAUAACUUCAUUAAAAUGAUAUAUUUUAUUACAUUAAGCAAAUGACAUAAUUUUAAUAAAUCUCAAAAAGAUAUAUCACACUUUUUCUUCAAUUUUGCUCUUAUAUUAUAGUCUAUCAUUAAAUUUAAGUCUUGCAAAAAAUAUCACAUACACAUAAAUAUAUCUAUGUAUAACAUAAGCAAGAUGUGUUUGGAUUUAAAAGAGACAUUUUUAUAUUUUUUAAACACAUCUCCAUCCUUAUUUGGUAAAACGGAAGGGAACACAUCACAUUUUUUUACAAUUGUAAUUUACUUGUUUGUUUUUCAAAUUAAUAUUAAUUUUAUAUUUAUAAUUUAGUUUAAUUUUUUUAUUCGGGUCCUCAAAGAAAAUGAUCUAAUUCUAUUGUUAUCUCUAUCAUCGUCAUAAUAUAAUUUUAUAUUAAAUCUUACAUAUAUUUUUGUUGUUUAUUGUCAUACUAAUUUUAAAUAUAUUUUCUUUAUAAUUUGAGUUUUUAUUUUUGUUUCUUAUCUUGUUAAAAUGAAAAUAUUUUAAUCCAUUACAUGUUGAUAUAUCACUGUGGCUCUCAAAAUUUAUUGGAUGUGGAUUUACUAAUGUAACACAUAAAAACUUAACAACUAAUUGAGUGAUACAUUUUAUUCAGAUGUGUCAUAUUAUUUUAAUUUGAAAAAAAAAGAGACAAAAUAAAAUAAUAAUUUCAAUUAUUUUAUAAAAAAGAUAAAAUGAUAUAGAAAAAUGGCCUCUAACCUUCAGCUACCAUUUAUUUUAUCUUUCUAUCUUUACUAUUCAACUUGACAUUCUAUAGUUUAUAUUUCAGUAUUUUACAAAUUUUAUUUUUUGCAUUAUUAUUUAUUCGGUUGAUUGAAAUUGGGCUUACAUGAGCUAUUAUUAUUUAAAUGCACCCCUCUUUGCUAAGUGCACCCCUUGCUUUUGUUUAAUUUUUUGGAUAAAAAUACCUCUCAUGGAAGCACGUCUCCGUUGAUCACCAAUGCAAAAUAGAAACAUGCUUAAAUUUGUAUUGGGGGUGUAUUCCCAAUACAUCCCACGGAAACACGUUCCAGUAUUAGCAUACAACAUUUAAAACAAUGAAAUAAAAAAAAUGAAGGGGAAAGAGAAUUAAUAGAAGAGAAAUGAAGAGGAGAAGGUGAGGGGAGAGUGGGUACAAGUGGGGUUACUAAAAUCAGAAAAAAGGGGGUGGGAUUGGGAUUGGGAUUGGGAUUGGGGUAGUAAGAUAAUUAUAGAGCUAGUGCGUUUAGAAAUAUUCUUUUUUUUUUUAUUGUUUUUGUUAUGUUUGUGUGUUAUUUUAUUGGGAAAAUGGACUUAAUGUGGCCCAAUAGAAUGAACAGCAUAAAAUGUUGCUUUGUGCACCAGCAGAAUUUCUGGUACACCCAGCAUGUUUUUAAAUUUCCCAUGAUACCCCUCCCUUAUAACUUCUUCUUUUCUUUCCUUCUUCUUAUUCUUCAUUCUUUCCUUCCAAACCGAAGAUUUGUUCUCGUGAGAGGUCUUCCAUGAGAGGUGCUCAUUCGUUGUUGUGUCAUUUUGGUGGAGAUGUAUUGUUUAUGGUGGUUCAUCGACAAGUGAUGGUUGUGUUGGUGAUUGAUUUGGCCAUUAACGACGGAGGUAUGGUCUUCGAUUUGGUUUAUUUCGAGUAAAACUUAUGGAUUGAUAAUUAGUAUAUUAUAUAAAAUUUAUUGAUUGAUAAUCCGUAAAUUUUAUAUAACUUACGAAUUGGUAAUCCGUAAGAAACUUACGGAUUGACAAUCCGUAUGUUACUUACGAAUUGGCAAUUCGUAAGUUCCUUUUUUAUUUUUAUAAUUUUUUAUUGUUUAAUUAAAUAAAAUUAGAAUUAUUAAUUAAAAAACUUAUAAAUAGAUAUAGUUUCAAUAUCCAUUCGAAAGUUGUAGUUUGAAAGUGAUAUUAAUCUUAAAAGAAUUUAUACUUUUAAUUUAAUUUAGUCGUUUUAACAUAAAAAAAAUUGUCCUUUUUAAUUUAAUGUAAUAUCAUUAAAUGCAAUAAAAAAAUGAGAAAAUUAUGUGAUAGUAUAAUUAUGAUUUGGUUAGGGAUUUUUUUUUGUCAUUGAAAUUUUUGAAUGUUCUAAUAAUAUGGACGAAGAUCAAUGGAUGCAUGACAGUAUAAUAUCUGAAGAAGUUGAUAUGAAUGAACAAAAUGAACACGAAGCUGGUGUGAAUGAAGAACAUGUUAAUUGUUCUGAUACGUUCAAUACUUUUUAGGUAUUAAUAUGAUUUAUUAUUAUUAAAGUAAGUAAAUGAAUGUCUCUUGAAGACUAAACUUGUAUGGAUUGUAUUGUAGGUGUUUGCUACCCAUGAUGAUGUUCUAGAUUGGACUCGAUCUGUUGCUUAUGAAAUUGGUUUUAUGGCGGUGAUUAUGAGAUCAAACACAAAUAUUGGUAUUAGAGGAAGGACCUCAUUUGUUUUAAUUGAUUGUGAAAGGAGUGGUCAGUAUAGGACCAAGAAGAAAGAUUUGGUAAGAACAAUUACUAGUAGUAGAAAAUGUGGGUGUCCCUUUAAGCUACAUGCGAAACCAGUGGUGGGAGGCGAAGGAUGGAUGGUGAAGUUAAUGUGUGGGAGUCACAAUCAUGAAUUGGUCAAGUUAUUUGUUGGACAUCCAUAUGUUGUCGACUGACUAAGGAUGAGAAGAUCAUUGUUUCUGAUAUGACAAAGUCAAUGGUAACAAGAAAUAUUCUUCUAACGUUGAAGGAGCACAAUGCCAAUAGUUAUACAACAAUCAAGCAAAUAUACAAUGCAAGAAAUGUGUAUCAUUCUUCCAUAAGAGGUAGUAAUACUAAAAUGCAACAACCAAUGAAGCUUCUUGAAUGGGAUCAAUAUAUUCAUUGGCAUAGAUUGAAGGAUGAAGAUGUUGCACAUGAUAUAUUUUGAAGUCACCCUGAUGCAGUCAAAUUAACCAAUGCCUAUAAUUUGGUAUUUUUGAUAGAUAGUACCUAUAAAACAAACAGGUACAGGAUGUCAUUACUUGAUAUUGUUGGUGUGACACCAACAAGGAUGACAUUCUCGGCUGCUUUUGCCUAUUUGUUGGGCUCUACAACGAUUUUGAGAUUUUUUUCUUCAGACAUGAUGCACUCCCUAAAAUUAUUGUUACCGACAGAGAUCUAGCAUUGAUGAAUGCAGUGAAAAUUGUAUUCCCUGAAGAUACCAAUUUGUUGUGUCGGUUUCACAUUCCCUAGUUGGUAAAAAAAAUGCAUGGGAUUAUGUCAUGGAAGCCUGGGGGAGUUUGGUGGAUUGUCCUUCUGAGCAAGAGUUCGAUAACUUCCUUAUGAAGUUUGAAAUUGUUUGCUCACCAUGGCCAAUGUUUGUUGACUAUGUGAAGCAAACAUGGUUAAUUCCUCAUAAAGAAAGAUUUGUUAAAGCCUGGACGAAUAAGGUGAUGCAUUUAGGAAAUACAACAACUAACAGGUAUGAAAAAUUAAAUAUAUUUUGGUAUUAGGGUUCAGGGUCUAAUGGAUAAAAAUAAUUGUUUUUGUUUACUUGUUUGUGUAUUUCAAAUGCAAGGUUGAGUCUGCUUAUUGGGCCUUAAAGAGACUACUGUAGAAUAGCCUUGGAGACCUGUGUACUGUUUGGGAAGCCAUGAACAACAUGAUCACGUUGCGACACACUAAAAUUAAAGCAUCUUUUGAGACAAGUACACAUGUCGUUGAACAUGUUUUUAAAGUUACCUUAUACAAGAAACUACUUGGCAUGGUAUCAAGGUAUGCUUUAAACUAAAUUGUUGUUGAGUUUGAGUGAGUAUAUUAUGUUGGCAAAAACCCUUCUCAUUAUGGAUAUAUAAUGAGAACUACUCACGGUCUUCCAUGUGCAUGUGAGCUAGCUAUAUAUGUUUAUGGUACCAUACCACUUGACACAAUCCAUAUGUUUUGAUGAAGGCUAAGAUUUUCAGACCAAAGGUUAUCUAAGCUUGAAGUCAGCAUAACUAAAGAGAUGGAAACCAUAACCAAGCGGUUUAAAGAGCUUGAUGUUUAUGGAAAAGUUACUCUAAAGAUUAAACUUCGGGAAAUUUCCUACCCUGAUCUAAACUCUUUGUGUGCUCCUCCAAAAAAGGUGAAAACAAAAGGUGCUCAAAAGCAACCGAUGACCAAACAUCAAAGAUCAACAAAGUGUGAUCCAUCUUACUGGGAGUAUGUUGAUGCAUUACAUUCUGUGCAAAAUAGUAAUUCUUCAGUCAAACGUAGUGCAUCAUCAUCUGAUCAAGCAAAACCAAGAAGGAUCAUGCCGAUGUUGGAUCAAUUUCAUCCACGCAUUCAUGAUUCCAUUGAAAAUAUUGUUGAUGUCAAAGCUGAUGGUAACUGUGGAUAUCGUGCAAUUGUUUCCUUAUUAGGUAUGGGUGAAGAUUCAUGGUUUUGGUUCGCAACCAUUUACUUAAAGAACUUGCAAAAUGGUCUAAUGAGUAUAUCAACUUGCUUGGUGGCACUAACAGAUUUGAGAAAUUAAAGUGGUUCCUACUUGUUGAUGGAUUAUCCAUGGUAUAUAAGUUUUUUGUUACGUUUCAAUGGAUUAAAUUUUCUUUAAAUAAAUGUAAUUAUAACUAUUACAUGCAAGUUACCAUGGAUAAGUGGAUGAAUAUAACUGACACGGGAUAUGUGAUUGCAUCAAAGUAUAAUGUCAUCCUUGUUUCUCUUUCUCUCCAACAAAGCAUGACGAUUUUUCCUCUUAGAAGUCCACCACCAACAAAUUGUUCUGUGCAUCGGGUUAUAUGUAUCGUUCAUGUGUAUGGCAAUCAUUUGGUUAAGGUAAAAACAUCAUCAUCCUAAUAAUUUGAAUAUGUAUGUCCUUAUGAUACAAGUAUUUCUAAGAGACCGUUGUCCCUUACCGCCAAUAACUUUGUUAUGGUCUACACAUUGUCAUCAUUAAGCAAAGCAGUGGCCUACACCAUAUAUUGGUAGAAUGCAGUAGUAUACAAAUUUGUCAAGGUUGAAAAUAGACUUUGUUGAUUUAGGUGAAGAUUGAACAUUUAGUUACUUAUGCAGUGGUCAUGUAAUACGAUAAUAUAUGUGUAUUUCAUUGGACGUUCAUAUAAUUAUCUAUUUUAGUUAAGCUUCAAAUGAUAUAUAAUUAUUUAUGUUUUAGGGUUACUUGACUACCUAGGGUCUAGGGUUAUGUCGCUAAUUAGGGUGUAUCGUUACCUGAUCAAUUAGGGUUUAUGGUUAAGUCAGUACUUAGGGUUUACUAUUACGUGACUAAUUAGGGUGGUUUCAUUGAUUAGGGUUAUUAAAGGUUUAACAUCGCGUUAUAAAUUGGUGAUUAAUUUAAAAUUCACAUACAACAUAAAUGAUAAUAAUUAAAAAGCGUAUCAAAUAACAUUAAAUAAUAGACAUUAUUCAAUCAUAUUGCAUACAUAAUUGAUAUAAAACCUAAAAAAUAAUAAAAGUCUUCAUGUGUCUUCCAUACGUCGCCUUCGUCUCAAUUGAACAUAUACAUUUCGUUGCUCAAUCACACCUUUUGUGAUCCUUAGGCAGCCUUCAGCGACAGUGUAUAUUUCUGUUCCUUCAAUCACUAUCUUAGGUUGAGCAACAUUUCCAACCUUUUAUCUAUUGCUUGGCAAGCCUCCUAGGACAUUGACAACAAGGAAAUUUUUUUAGGGUUAAUGCAUGUUCAGAUAAAAUGAGUAACAGUGACAACUUAAAAUAAAUUUUACCACUACAUGUCAAGGCUGCUCUACAUCAGCAUGUGCAUCUGCAAGAGCUUCGUCCAUAGCCAUUACCGCCAUCGACUACUGAGGAAGAUCUGGUUCAACAAAUGUGUCGUCGUGCAUCACGGGUAGAUGUCUAGGAGGAUCCCCAGGCUGUGCGGGAGUCAUGAAGGGAUGAGAUAUCAUGUAAAACCACUCCGUGUAGUCUGUUGCACACUAUCCGAGCGCAACACAUAUCUGACCCACCGGUGCAAGCUAUUCAGAAAACUGAAUCCAUCUAUCAUCAAUCUAUUCUACAUAUAGACAUGGAGCAGUAGGGUGCGGUGGAAUGGUCUGCACAUACCCAAACUGUCGCACAACCCUCUCUGAUCGAUGUACAACAAUAGAUGGACCCCAAUGGAUAUGUUUGGAAAAUAAAGAGAUCAGCUCAAAUUCUCUUAAUGCACGGUGGUCAGAGUAAGGAAUCCAGCACACAGAAUCAAACGUCAAUCUAUCUAGACGCUUACGAUACAUCGACACUGGCAAUGCCCUUCCUGACUUCCAACGACAAGCACGUGGUUUCCUCUCAUCAUAAUCUUUAGCAGAAAUAAAAGAAGCAACAAAAGGAAAAUGCUCGUAGAUCCAACACUGCACAUAUUUAAAAACAACAAAACAAUACUCAAUAUAAACUAAAGAACUAAAAAAAUUAAAAGUACUUGUAAAAGUGUGAUAUAUCCUGCAAGUUUUCUGGCGCUACUCUUUGACACAUCAUUCAAAUUCUCAUACAUAUGGACCAGUGCAGCAGCUUUCCAUGCAUAGAUUCCACUCUACGUUAGGUCACGAAAUGCGUCCAAGAAUACCACAUGAACGUGUGUGACACUCUUGUUAGCAAAAAGUGUGCAACCUACCAGAUGCAACAAAUAUGCUCGAGCUGCUACAGUCCAUUGUGUUGCGUCACAUUUGCAUUGAUAUAUGUCUCGCAGCUAGGAUAGUCGAACAUAUGCCCCAUGGCAUUGUACUGUCUCAGCUCUUGCCUCUUCAAAACUCAUUUCAAGCAAUUCAACUAAAAGGAAGACGACAUCAUCCACAUGAAGAGCCUCAAAGCUAUGGAAGGUGCCUGUAAUGGGCAGAAGUAGCAAUGAUGCUACAUCAUCCAGGGUGAUAGUCUCAUCUCCUAUCGGCAAAUGGAAAUUACUAGUUUUCUUAUGCCACCUCUCCGCAAAAGUAGAGAUAAGUCCUUGAUCACCAGUGUCCAGCAAACAUGCGAUUAGAGGACUUAAUCCUGUGGCAGCCACUAAGCCUUCAAUAUCUGGAGCAAGCCUGCCAAAUUUCUCUACCUUCCUUUCAUAGGAGGACAACUUCAACUCAGGACGUUCCUAACAAUAAAAAUUUUAAUCAUUAUAACAAUAAUAACAAAUAGUUAUGAAAAUAUUAUUUAUCAAAAUAUAAAUACCCCUCUAUUCCAAAUUGUCACUGUCAUAUGAUAAACAUAGUCCAUCAAAACUGAUUUAUCGUGGGGUCCGCCUGGAAAACCCUCGACAUCAGUAACUACAUCAUCAACAGCUGUCUCUACAGGCUCUUCAUGCACCUCAUCAGCUACAUGAUACACAUGCUCGACAUCCUCAGCAAUAGGUGCAACUUCAUGUUGCCUACGUGCAGAUGUUGUGGGCCUUUGUCACUGGGGGCUUCAUCCGCAUCACGACUCUCUAAGGCUCUUCAUAUAAUUCUACCUAAAGCCCGACCCAAACCUCUGGUCUUAACCAUAAUUUGCACAUUAAAACAGCCAUAACAAUUAAUGUCAUUCUUCAAAUAAUAUUUCACUUUCAUUAAUAUAUAUUUACCAAUUUAUUAUUUAACUUUUUUGAUACUUUUAUAUAUUCAUAAAUCAAUAUACAAUUUUUAAAAAAAAAUAUUUAUAGACUACACACCACUAAUUCUAGUAAACUUAAAUAUAUGAUAAAAAUCAUACAAGUAACUAUUUCAAAUUUCAAAUAUAAUUAACUUGCAUAAACAAAUAACAAAAAAUAAUAAUUUAUUAAAUUAAAUAAUUAUUACUAACCAACUUAAAAAAGAAAUUUAAUUAAUUAAUUAAAUACAUAUUAAAAAUAUACAACAAUAUUUAUUUUUUAUUUAUUACAUAAAUAUUAUAACAACUAAAUUAUUAAAUUGUUAAUUAUAAAUUAUUAAAUUAUUAAUUAAUUAACUAAAAUUAAUUAAAUAAUUAAUUAUGUAAAUUAUAUGAAUGAUUAAUCCGUGUAUAAGCCAUAUGGAUUGACAAUCCAUAUCACUUAUAUGGAUCCCCAACCACACUCAACAAUGGCAAUGACAGCACACAAACAACCACAAAGACGAAGAGCUACUUACGCCGCGAAAGGAGAAUAUGACGAUGAUUGUGAUGGAGUGACCGACGGCACCAAUGGCGGUGGCAACGACGAGAGAAGAAGACACAAUGAAUGAAGGAGAUAGCGGCGCAACCUGUACGGACAACCCGAGGGAGAAGGAGAGUGAGAGGAAAAGGGUUUUUAAAAUUAAUGUUAAAAACAUUUUUGCUACUUCACAUUAUUUUUGCUAAGUGCACCAGCAUUUCUGUUGGGUGCAAGAAGCACUAGCCAAGGAGAAAACUAAAUUGUUGGGCCAAACUUUAACCAAUGUAAAUUGUUGUGCAAUAUGAUAAAAAUAUGGAAGCAAUAUAUACAACAUUAUAAAAAUAUUGAUCAAAAUGUACAAUAUUUUGAAAAUAUGAGGAUAAAAUGUGAGAAAAAAUAAUGAAUAUAUAAUAAAGUUAUAUGAAUGAUAUUUGUUGUCUUUGAACCUCUUGGAUAAUGUCAUUGUCAAUCUCAAACCGUCAUUAAUCUCCUGUAACUCAACCCUAUCGCCCAUGUCACGCAUGCAAGCCCCCAUUACACAACAACUAAUCUAAACUCUUCGAUUCUUAAUAUUUAUUUAGUUCCUUCGUAAUAAAAUAUUUGUAGAACAAUUAUCAAGCCUUAUUUUAUUCACGCUAAACCUAAAUGGGUAUUUUUUUAAAAGGAAAAUGAAUAAUGUUAAUCCCAAUUUUGAGUGCAUGCGUAAGACUAGAAGAUAGAUAAAAAUAUACAAAAAUAAAAUAAAAGAUGCAAUUAUUAAUAUGAUAAAACAAUAUUAAAAAAAUGUGAUAAAAAUUUGAAAAGAAAGAAAUAAGUAUCGGCAUUGGGGCAAUCGAAGGAUAUACAGAGACGAGACUUUCUCCAAUGGGGCCAUAAGCAAAUCAUAUAAGUGAGUCUAACAUCACACUUUAACUUAAAACCUUAAAGAUAGAUUUAUGGGUGUUCUCUUCACUUAUAUGGUGUUUAACUUUUUCAUUCUUAUUCAAUAUGAGACUUCAUCUCACACUUGUACAAUAACAAUAUUUUAAUUAUUGUGAUUUAUCCUUUUUAGAUCACAUAAAGAAAAAGAAUAAAAAUGUAUAGAAGAAUAUAGAGUAAAAGUGUGCUAUUUAAAUAGAUAAAAAUAAAUUAUUUAAAAAUAUAUACUAAUUCAAAUAUUAAAUUUAACUUACAUUAAAAUUUUAUUAAAUUAUUUUUCUUAACAAAAUUAUUUAUUUAUAUGUUAAUAAAAUUAUUUAACUUUUAAGAAAACUAAUACAAGA